AGCAUGCACGGGCUCUAUUGAAGUGUCCGAUCCUAAUAUAGUCUAUUAGAUUAUGUUAUUUCAUGCUUUUGAUCAGGUAAACAUCUGUAUUUAUAAGAACCCUACUUCAACUAUUGUCAUUUGUUUCUGUGGAGUCCAGUUCAAUCUCAAAAUGGGUUUAACCCUAACCUGUGAGUAAACAAGCAAAAGACAGUACAAGAUUUCAGGAUCUAAUCAUGAGGUCUGAAGGCCAAAUAAGGCUUGAGGUUUUACAGUAGUUGGGAGGACUACCUGGUCAAAUAUGUCAUUGUUAUUCUAUGAGUAUAGAUUACAACAUUUAGAAUAUACUGCAUAUCAGAUCCACU
Molecule: long non-coding RNA, 344 nt
Organism: Spea bombifrons (plains spadefoot toad)
Lineage: Eukaryota; Metazoa; Chordata; Amphibia; Anura; Pelobatidae
Exons: 2
Source: RefSeq, a predicted model, not a curated record